AAGGGUAAGACCCGGAGCAAUCCGGGAGGCCAGUAGAGGUGCUGCAUGGCUGUCGUCAGCUCGUGUCGUGAGAUGUUGGGUUAAGUCCCGCAACGAGCGCAACCCUACCCUUAGUUGCCAGCGGGUAAUGCCGGGCACUCUAAGGGGACCGCCCCGGAUAACGGGGAGGAAGGCGGGGAUGACAUCAAGUCAGCAUGGCCUUUAUGUCCAGGGCUACACACGUGCUACAAUGGGCGAUACAGAGGGAAGCAAGGCCGCAAGGUAGAGCUAAUCCCUAAAGUCGUCCUCAGUUCGGAUUGCAGGCUGCAACUCGCCUGCAUGAAGUCGGAAUCGCUAGUAAUCGCGGAUCAGCUACGCCGCGGUGAAUACGUUCUCGGGCCUU
Molecule: ribosomal RNA, 382 nt
Filed under: uncultured Aminicenantes bacterium
Lineage: Bacteria; Candidatus Aminicenantota
Description: bacterial SSU rRNA
Rfam family: Bacterial small subunit ribosomal RNA
Source: RNAcentral